GAGCUAAGCUGCUGUACUAUCGAUAUAUAGCAUGAAGGUCUCUGUGCUAUGUACCAAAUUAUUUUCAGUCAUGUGGCUUCAAAAUUAAUGAUCGAUUCCAUUAGAUUUGAUCUACAUUAUUGAAAGUAUUUUAAAAUUAAAUUUCAUAAUGUUUCAAUAUUAUUUGACUACUGAUCAAAAGGUCUCAAAAUUUAAAAUUUUAAUGGUCAAUGUGAUGUGUUUGUAAAUUUAACUGCUUAAAAAAUUCAAAUCUGAUGAAAUUUUUAUAAUUUUUUUUCACUAUUUAAAAUAAGAUCAGAAACUCUAAUCUUAAAUUUAAAUAUUUUAUCAUCAUUUUUUAUGAUAUUUUUUAUUUUCAGCCAUUCAUUUUAAGACUACUUGUUGAUAGGUGAAUUAAUGAUGUCGAAAAAUUAUGAAAUUUAGUUUUCAAAUAAUUUUAAUAGUGUAAAUUAAGUCUAACAGAACCGAUCGAUCGUCAAUUUGGAAGCCGCAUUAUUGAAAUCAACUUAAUAGCAUCGAGGUUUCUGUACUACCGCAUAGAUUAAGUCUAACUUUUUGACCCUUAAAUCAAUCUCUUUGAUUAUUUUUUAUCUUUAGACUAAUAUUAUUAUUCUAAAGGGACUAUUCAAUUCUAAGAAGGACUAUUAUCAUUCUAACUUUAUAAUUUUUAAUUCAAAAAUCAAAAAAUCAAAAGUACUAACUCCCUUAUGUUUUCGAUAGUAUGGUAACACUAUUAAC
Molecule: long non-coding RNA, 738 nt
Filed under: Ananas comosus (pineapple)
Lineage: Eukaryota; Viridiplantae; Streptophyta; Magnoliopsida; Poales; Bromeliaceae
Description: long non-coding RNA (ACOM_LNC022784)
Source: RNAcentral